UACGUAGGGUGCGAGCGUUGUCCGGAAUUACUGGGCGUAAAGGGCUCGUAGGCGGCCAACUAAGUCAGACGUGAAAUCCCUCGGCUUAACCGGGGAACUGCGUCUGAUACUGGAUGGCUUGAGAUUGGGAGAGGGAUGCGGAAUUCCAGGUGUAGCGGUGAAAUGCGUAGAUAUCUGGAGGAACACCGGUGGCGAAGGCGGCAUCCUGGACCAACACUGACGCUGAGGAGCGAAAGCCAGGGGAGCAAACGGG
RNAcentral lists this ribosomal RNA (253 nucleotides) under uncultured bacterium. RNAcentral's name for it is "partial 16S ribosomal RNA". It matches the Rfam family "Bacterial small subunit ribosomal RNA", at positions 524 to 776 of the family's 1533-position model. The record is from RNAcentral.